This 419-nucleotide ribosomal RNA is filed under the name Pediococcus pentosaceus. RNAcentral's name for it is "bacterial SSU rRNA". It matches the Rfam family "Bacterial small subunit ribosomal RNA", at positions 64 to 466 of the family's 1533-position model. The record is from RNAcentral. Lineage: Bacteria; Bacillati; Bacillota; Bacilli; Lactobacillales; Lactobacillaceae.
UUAUGACGUACUUGUACUGAUUGAGAUUUUAACACGAAGUGAGUGGCGAACGGGUGAGUAACACGUGGGUAACCUGCCCAGAAGUAGGGGAUAACACCUGGAAACAGAUGCUAAUACCGUAUAACAGAGAAAACCGCAUGGUUUUCUUUUAAAAGAUGGCUCUGCUAUCACUUCUGGAUGGACCCGCGGCGUAUUAGCUAGUUGGUGAGGUAAAGGCUCACCAAGGCAGUGAUACGUAGCCGACCUGAGAGGGUAAUCGGCCACAUUGGGACUGAGACACGGCCCAGACUCCUACGGGAGGCAGCAGUAGGGAAUCUUCCACAAUGGACGCAAGUCUGAUGGAGCAACGCCGCGUGAGUGAAGAAGGGUUUCGGCUCGUAAAGCUCUGUUGUUAAAGAAGAACGUGGGUAAGAGUAACU